GUCACUCUUACCCUCCUCAAUGGCAUCCUCAUUACCACAACCACCUCCUCUCCCCUCUCUCCACUUCACCUUCUCUCCACUCUCUUGAAAUCCUAACAUUUUCACUUCUUCACUCUCCCUCUCACUCUCUUGAAACUCUAACAUUUUCACUUCUUCACUCUCCCUCUCACUCUCUUGAAACCCUACCAUUUUCACUUCUUCACUCUCCCUCUUACUACUCAACACAUACCACCUCUCCCACUCACUCAACACCACCACCACCUCCCCCACUAACUCAACACCAUCACCAAGUCCCCCACUCACUCAACACCACCACCACCUCCCCCGCUCACUCAACACCACCACCACAUCCGCCCACUCAACACCACCACCACCUUCACCCACUCAACACCACCACCACCUCCGCCCACCACCUCUAUCGUUUCUCUUUCUUCUUUUUUUUUUUUCAUUUCUUCUUCUUCUUCUUCUUCUUCAAAUCCGAAAAACUCUCACUCAACACCACCACCUCCCCCACUCACUCAACACCACCACCUCCCCCACUCACUCAACACCACCACCACCUCCCCCACUCACUCAACACCACCACCACAUCCGCCCACUCAACACCACCACCACCUCCACCCACUCAAAACCACCACCACCUCCGCCCACCACCUCUGUCGUUUCUCUUUCUUUUUUUUUCAUUUCUUCUUCUUCUUCUUCUUCAAAUCCGAAAAACUCUCGCUCAUAGCUAGAAAAAAUUUCAAACACUAAUAUUCAAAACAAAUCUCAAAUACUCAAAACCCUCUUAAUCUUAAUUUCUAUUUUUAGAUAUGUUUGUUUAAUCUGUACUUUUUUAUUUGCAAAUAGAUAUUAGUUUAUUUCUUUUAGUUUUUGUUGAUGCAUGUCUUUAUUUUUGAAGAUUUAUGUUUUUUGUUUGAAGAUUUAAGUUUCGGAUUUGAGAUAUUUUCUGGUUUUUUCAUUUUAUUUUCAAAUAUUUAUGUUGUGUUUGUUAAAGUAUGAAUAAACAAGAAAAACAAGUUUUUUUUUGGGUUAAUAUUUUCCUAUUUCUUUUCUUAUAUGUAUAGAUGAACUGUGUCUCUGUCAUAUCUCAAACACUAUCUCCCUCAUAUUUCAGACACUAUGGUUUGGUUUUGUUAAUUUCCAAGAUUAACAUGUUAGUUUAGUCGUAUUGUCUGUAUUUUUUUUAUUUGCAAAUAGAGUUCUGUUUGAUGAGUUUAUUUCUUGUAAUUGUUACUGUAUGUCAUUAUUUAUUAUUAUUGGAAAUACUAAUGAAAUUAAUUAAUAUAUAUUUUUAUUUGUGAAUAGAGAUUUAUUUGAUGAGUUUAUUUCUUGGAGUUUAUUUGAUGAGUUUAUUUUCAAUAGUAAAAAUAUUAUUUUUAUUAUUUAAGAUAAUAAUAAAAUUAAUUAAUAUAUCUUUUGUAGUUUUGUUACUGUAUGUCAUUAAAUUAAUAAAUUAUUAUUUAUGUCAUUAUUGUACUAUAGAUUAAUUAAUAUUUGUUAUUGUGUGUCAUUAUUGUACGGCAUAUAUUAAUUAAUAUUUGUUACUGUAUGAUAUUAUUGUUAUGUCAUUAUCGUAUUUACUUUCCACUAAUUUUUGUUUUUUCACUCAAUAUUUUCCCUCCACUUAUUUUUACUUUUCACUCAUAAUUAUUUUCACUUUCAGUCAUAAAAAUAUUCCCACUCUUUUUA
RNAcentral lists this long non-coding RNA (1692 nucleotides) under Cicer arietinum (chickpea). RNAcentral's name for it is "long non-coding RNA (CARI_LNC003606)". Lineage: Eukaryota; Viridiplantae; Streptophyta; Magnoliopsida; Fabales; Fabaceae. The record is from RNAcentral.